This 250-nucleotide unclassified non-coding RNA is filed under the name plant metagenome. RNAcentral's name for it is "partial contains small subunit ribosomal RNA, internal transcribed spacer 1, and 5.8S ribosomal RNA". The record is from RNAcentral.
GUAGGUGAACCUGCGGAAGGAUCAUUAAAGAGCGAGGGUCUUUUUACAGGCUCGACCUCCCAACCCUUUGUUUAUCAUACCUAUGUUGCUUCGGCGGACCCGUCCGAAAGGACCGCCGGCGGACUCUUCGGAGUCCGCUGGCCCGCGUCCGUCGAUAGCCCAUCUAAAAACUCUUGAAUAAAUCGUGUAUUACUUCUGAGUCGAAACAAAAAUUAAAAGCAAAACUUUCAACAACGGAUCUCUUGGUUCU